AGCCGACUACGAUCCUACAGACCAAAUAAACAAGCCAAAUAUCUCUUAAGAAUAGCUCCCAUGCCAUUAGAUUCUUCCAACUCCAACCAUGUAAUGUACUCUAAAUGAUUUAUAUUUGUUGCAUUGUGCCAACAUAUUCCCACGAGAAAGGGCAUCAUUUUUAAUCAAUGACAAGCACUAGUGUGAUUAUUUUACCAUGACCAUGAUUUUUUCCCUUUUUAUGAUUUUUCACAUAAAAUUUAUAGUCUCUUAUGACUCUUACACCUCUCUCUCUCUUAUCUGUAUAUAUGUUGCAUCUUCGUUCAAAGCUAAGACGUUAAAUUUUUUUAUCUCUCUAUAGCUACGAAUGUUCUAGCACGGAACCAUUCUUAUUCCUUGAAAAUAGUUCAUAUCUACUUGCACAUUUGCAAGUUUGAUAUGGUCAAUGAACCAUGGGAAGAUGUAUUUAAAAAAAAAAAAAAAAGUCUUGACUUAUGUGAUCCUCUAUAUCUUCAAAAUCAUCACAUUUUUUAGAGAAAUCCUUGCAGAAAGCUUCAUAUGCUAAUGCCAACAAUCUCGAAUAUAAAUCUUUACCACUAAGUUUAUACAGUAUAAAAGACCUCCAUACAUCAUAUUUAGAAAAUUUAAGGAUUUCAACAACACAGCCAUCCAAAUUCAUCUUUCAAAAAAGCAAACAAACUUCUUCUCAGAGUGAAAAUUGAAGCACCACCAACCAUGGUAGUAAUUCUAAUAUUAUGUGAAGAAAGUAGAAAGGAGAAAGGAGAAAAGAAGAGAUAUUUGCCAAACUUAUUAGAUCAUCAACAUUGUUUAAGUAAUCGAUUUUCCAAGCCCAAACCUCUUCCGACCAAGAAUUAACACUAACCCAAGAUCUACUCCCAAAAUUUGAAGAAGGGUGCAUCAAAAAAAAAAAAAAUACGCCAAGUUUCACUAAGAAUGUGAAGGAAUAGUAGUAGACUCACUUGACAUAACAUAUGCUAACAUGAAGUAGAUGAAAAGAAACUUAAGCUAGCCCUAAUCAAUGAUAA
Long non-coding RNA from Dendrobium catenatum, 1025 nucleotides. RefSeq lists it as uncharacterized. The record is from RefSeq and is a predicted model, not a curated record. Lineage: Eukaryota; Viridiplantae; Streptophyta; Magnoliopsida; Asparagales; Orchidaceae. The transcript is spliced from 2 exons.